CAGCAGCCGCGGGAAUACGAAGGGUGCAAGCGUUAAUCGGAAUUACUGGGCGUAAAGCGCGCGUAGGUGGUUCAUUAAGUUGGAUGUGAAAGCCCUGGGCUCAACCUGGGAACUGCAUCCAAAACUGGUGAGCUAGAGUACGGUAGAGGGUAGUGGAAUUUCCUGUGUAGCGGUGAAAUGCGUAGAUAUAGGAAGGAACACCAGUGGCGAAGGCGACUACCUGGACUGAUACUGACACUGAGGUGCGAAAGCGUGGGGAGCAAACAGGAUUAGAUACCCGCGAGUCCCUGUCUCUUAUACA
This 301-nucleotide ribosomal RNA is filed under the name uncultured bacterium. RNAcentral describes it as "partial 16S ribosomal RNA". It matches the Rfam family "Bacterial small subunit ribosomal RNA", at positions 509 to 808 of the family's 1533-position model. The record is from RNAcentral.